Molecule: ribosomal RNA, 3462 nt
Filed under: Triticum aestivum (bread wheat)
Lineage: Eukaryota; Viridiplantae; Streptophyta; Magnoliopsida; Poales; Poaceae
Description: partial small subunit ribosomal RNA
Source: RNAcentral
AUGGGCCGCCAAGCUAGUGCUGCACGAAAUGACCUCGAGCAUAUGCUAUCUCAUGAAAACGAGCUGCCAAAGGCCUUGCCAUUAUCACUUUUGGAAGACAUUACGGAUGGUUUCUCUAAGAACCAUCAAAUUGGCAGCGGUGGGUUUGCAGUGGUCUACAAGGGAACGCUUGAGAAUGGGACUGUUGCUGUGAAGAAGUUGCUUGAAAGUCUUGAUAUUCCUGAUAAUAAAUUCAAUGAAGAAAUUCGUUGUUUGAUGAGGGUAAAGCACAACAACAUAGUCCGGUUCUUGGGAUAUUGUGCUAACAUACAAGGCCAAAUGGAAAACUACAAUGGAGAUUUUGUCAUGGCAGAUGUACGUCAAAGGUUGCUUUGCUUUGAGUAUGUACCUAAAGGAAGUCUUCAUGAGUAUAUCAAAGAUACAUCUUCUAGACUUGACUGGAUAAAGAGCUAUCGGAUAAUAAAGGGUAUUUGUGAAGGUUUACAUUACCUUCACCAGAAUUGCAUUGUUCACUUAGAUCUCAAGCCGGCAAAUAUUCUGUUGGAUGACAACAUGACACCAAAAAUUGCUGAUUUUGGUCUGUCAAGGUGCUUCGAUGAAAAGCAAAGCCAAGCUAUUACCGAAAAUAUGGCUGGAACAUUGGGGUAUAUGGCACCAGAGUUUCAUAGAGGAGACAAAUGCACGAUCACAUACAACUCGGACAUAUAUAGUCUUGGUGUCAUAAUUAUAGAGAUGCUGACAGGAAAGAAGUGGUAUCCAGGAUAUCCUGAUGUUGAUAAUGUACUUGAAACUUGGAGUAAUAAGUUAAGGAAAUCACAGCGGGACACACUUUUGAAACAGAUACGGUUAUGCAUUGACCUAGGGAUAAAAUGCACUGAUGGUAACCAAGCGAACAGACCAAAUACAUCACAUAUAAUCAGUAGGCUUGGUGAAUCAGAAAAUACAUGCAUUAUAACUGUUUUGACUUCUUCAACAGUACCACAGGUAGAAAGAACUUUGGAAAAUUUGGAGCAUACCACCAAUAACUUGCUUCUGAGGAGGAACAAUGUUCGUUAUAUGAAUGAUAUUGCCGAGAAGAAUGUUACUAUUGAGCAAGAGGCAGCUAAGGAACUUCAAGAGGCCCAAGAAUGUCUCGAUGAUAAUCCUCAUGUUGUUGAAGUCGAAUCUAUUCCAUCUAUGUCUGUUGACGACCGUAACCUUCAAGAGGCCCUCCGGCUCAUUAAGGAUGAUCCAGUGGGAGUAAUUGGAAUAUGGGGUCCAGGUGGAGUGGGGAAAACACGCCUUUUGAACAAAAUCAAGAACUCAAUUGAUGAUGACAAGACCUUUAACUAUGUUGUGCAAGUGACAGCUUCAAGGGGGUGUUCAGUGGAAAAGAUCCAAACUGACAUUGCACGCCAUCUCAAUCUGAACAGAGAUGGUAAUGUGGAAUCUCAAUCUCGUGUCAUUUUUGACUUUCUGAAGAAGAGAAGCUUUCUUGUAUUGUUGGAUGAUAUUUGGGGUCAAAUUGAUCUACAAGCAGUCGGCAUACCAUAUCCUCUUGGAUAUGCAAACCAAAUUUGGAGAAAGGUGGUGCUCACAACAAGAUCAAGAAGGGUUUGUGGUCAAAUGGAGGUGAGGAAAGAUUUGAAUGUAUCUUGUCUACACGAGGAUGACUCAUGGCAGGUAUUCCAGGAUAAGGUCGGCCACAAAACUCUUUUUUAUAGUCCUCGCAUUGAAGCUCUUGCAAGAGAACUAGUGAAAGAAAUGAAAGGCUUGCCAUUAGCUUUGAUAACUCUUGGAAAGGCAAUGUAUGGUAAAACUGAUACGGCUGAGUGGGAAUAUGCUAUCCAACAUAUGAGACGGUCAUGUUGUGAUAACGAUGACCCCCUGGAUAUGGAAAGAAUUGUUUUUAGCCAGAUCAAGUUUAGUUUUGAUAGUUUGCGAAACAAUACUUUGAGGAAAUGUUUCUUGACUUGUGCAUUGUGGCCAGAGGAUCAACAUAUCUACAAAGUAGAGCUCGCUCGAUGCUGGAUUGGCUUGGGUCUAGUGCAUGAGUCAGAUAUACAUAGUUCCUACACAAAAGCAUAUAGUCUGAUGGGUGACCUUUCAGCUGCAUGUUUGUUAGAUGGUUGUGGAGAAAUGUAUGAUUCUUUUAAAAUGCAUGAUGUGGUUCGUGACAUGGCUUUAUGGAUCUCUUGUGGAUGCAAUGAGAAAAAUGGCAAGUGGUUUGUCCGUGCGGGUAUUGGCCGGCACGAAAAUUUUAGCAUCCCUUGGAGCCAGGUUGAAUUUGUCUCAUUGAUGUGCAACUAUGUAUUAAAACUUCCUCCUGUUGGCUCUAAUCCAUGCCACAUGAGGAUGUUAUGCCUUGGAAAUAACUGGUUGCAUGAAAGCAUAUUAAUUGAAGAAAUCAAGAAAUUUACUUCACUGACAUAUCUGGAUUUGCGUUUCAACAAUCUCGGAGAAAUACCUGAAGAAUUAUGUUCCCUGACAAACUUGGAACACCUUGACUUGUCGCAUAAUAUUGAAAUAAAUGAAGUGCCUUACUCCUUUGGAAACCUAAUUAAGCUCAAGUUCUUGUACCUAGGAUGGACUAGCAUACAAAGGAUACCGGAGGGGGUCAUAUCUAAGCUUCAAUCAUUACAAGUAAUAGACUUCAACACUUUUUAUCUACGUCCAAUUCCGAAGGACCUUCUUUCUAGAAUGCUUCGAGAGUUGGGCACCCUACCCCACUUGAAAGCAGUUGGUAUCACUGCCAUGUGUUUUUCUCAGUAUAAAUUAUUACGAGAGAGUGAGGACCUCCCCAUCAGGUCUUUAACUCUGCGGAGACUCGAGACACGUGCAUUCUACUUCUCUGAUAUUCUAUCACAUGAGUUUGCACCAAGGACCUUGUAUGAACUGCUAAUUCACAUGUGCAUCAUGGAGGAAAUAAUAUUUGGACACGGGUUGGCAGAACCAAACUGCGGUUUUCGUACUCUCAAUCAGCUCAGCUUUUCAGAUUUGUCGAACUUGAGAGAGAUAACUUGGACGAAAACAUCCCCAGCAUCUCUAUUUCCAAGGCUCGCUUGUCUGGAUGUGCAUUCCUGCGGGAAACUAAACCACCUCUCCUGGGCGAUGGAUCUACCUUGCCUCGAACAACUCGUAAUAUAUGAUUGUUCUUCGAUGCGGCAAGCGUUUAUGAGGCACCAUGGUGAUAACCAGUGCAGUGGACAAGACAGUUCAAAGACAUUUCCUUGCCUCAGAUAUCUAAAAUUUCUGAGGUGUGAAUCACUGGUCGGUAUUGGGGAUCCUGAUAUGACAUUUCCAUCCCUAGAGCGACUGGUGCUUCAUCAUUGUCCGGAAUUGAAUAGGCUUCCUUUCAAGACGGACAACUUACCACGAAAACUGCAGGAACUACAGAUUGAUGUUGGAUCCUGGGAGAGAUUGGAAUUGGAAGAAGGUGUCAGAUCUUUCCUGCAGCCCAGGCUUAAAUUAGAAAAAGAGUAA